UGAGGAAUAUUGGUCAAUGGGAGGAAUCCUGAACCAGCCAUGCCGCGUGCAGGACGACGGCUCUACGAGUUGUAAACUGCUUUUGUACCGGGGUAAAAUGCCUUACGAGUAGGGUUUUGAAAGUACGGUACGAAUAAGGAUCGGCUAACUCCGUGCCAGCAGCCGCGGUAAUACGGAGGAUCCGAGCGUUAUCCGGAUUCAUUGGGUUUAAAGGGUGCGUAGGUUGUUUUAUAAGUUAGCGGUGAAAUACCGAUGCUCAACAUCGGGGCUGCCGCUAAUACUGUAGGACUAGAGAUCGGAUGC
Molecule: ribosomal RNA, 303 nt
Filed under: uncultured bacterium
Lineage: Bacteria
Description: bacterial SSU rRNA
Rfam family: Bacterial small subunit ribosomal RNA
Source: RNAcentral